UACGUAGGGGGCGAGCGUUGUUCGGAUUUACUGGGCGUAAAGCGCACGUAGGCGGAUUGUUAAGUCGGGGGUGAAAUCCUGGAGCUCAACUUCAGAAUUGCCUUCGAUACUGGCUUUCUAGAGGCUGGAAGAGGUUAGUGGAAUUCCCAGUGUAGAGGUGAAAUUCGUAGAUAUUGGGAAGAACACCAGUGGCGAAGGCGGCUAACUGGUCCAGAUCUGACGCUGAGGUGCGAAAGCGUGGGGAGCAAACAGG
Molecule: ribosomal RNA, 253 nt
Filed under: uncultured bacterium
Lineage: Bacteria
Description: partial 16S ribosomal RNA
Rfam family: Bacterial small subunit ribosomal RNA
Source: RNAcentral